Molecule: long non-coding RNA, 269 nt
Filed under: Dermacentor andersoni
Lineage: Eukaryota; Metazoa; Arthropoda; Arachnida; Ixodida; Ixodidae
Description: uncharacterized LOC126537878
Source: RNAcentral
GGAAGAUGGUGAAACAAUCACUCUAACUCCAACGGGUAAGCUGAACGUGCCUCCAAGUGCAGAAGAUAAUCAAGACGUCAUGAGUAUUCGGGUUGUACUGGAAGACAUACUUGUGUCCGAAAAAAGACAGAUGCUUGAAGUUGCUUUGACUGUGAACAUGGACUCACAGAUGAAUUACACUCAAUGCUUAGAGGAGUACACAAUAUGGACCCAGCGACGAACUAUAUUAGUUUACAAUAGAAGUACUAUCUAUACAUCGGUGUAUCUGG